This 24-nucleotide non-coding RNA is filed under the name Arabidopsis thaliana (thale cress). The record is from RNAcentral. Lineage: Eukaryota; Viridiplantae; Streptophyta; Magnoliopsida; Brassicales; Brassicaceae.
CUAGAUUUUAAUACCGCGGGACUA